AGCAGUCGCCGCGGUAAUACGUAUGUCACAAGCGUUAUCCGGAUUUAUUGGGCGUAAAGCGCGUCUAGGUGGUUAUGUAAGUCUGAUGUGAAAAUGCAGGGCUCAACUCUGUAUUGCGUUGGAAACUGUGUAACUAGAGUACUGGAGAGGUAAGCGGAACUACAAGUGUAGAGGUGAAAUUCGUAGAUAUUUGUAGGAAUGCCGAUGGGGAAGCCAGCUUACUGGACAGAUACUGACGCUAAAGCGCGAAAGCGUGGGUAGCAAACAGGAUUAGAUACCCCUGUAGUCCCUGUCUCUUAUACA
RNAcentral lists this ribosomal RNA (303 nucleotides) under uncultured bacterium. RNAcentral describes it as "partial 16S ribosomal RNA". It matches the Rfam family "Bacterial small subunit ribosomal RNA", at positions 507 to 808 of the family's 1533-position model. The record is from RNAcentral.